This 480-nucleotide ribosomal RNA is filed under the name uncultured bacterium. RNAcentral describes it as "bacterial SSU rRNA". It matches the Rfam family "Bacterial small subunit ribosomal RNA", at positions 24 to 518 of the family's 1533-position model. The record is from RNAcentral.
UCAGGAUGAACGCUGGCGGCGUGCCUAACACAUGCAAGUCGAACGGAGUAAGAAUUCGAUUUUACUUAGUGGCGAACGGGUGAGUAACGCGUGAACAACCUGCCUUCAUGAGGGGGGAUAACACCUGGAAACAAGUGCUAAUACCGCAUAAGACCACAGGAUCGCAUGAUCGAGGGGUCAAAGGAGUAAUCCGCAUGAAGAGGGGUUCGCGUCCCAUUAGCUAGUUGGCGGGGCAACGGCCCACCAAGGCGACGAUGGGUAGCCGAGCUGAGAGGCUGAUCGGCCACACUGGAACUGAGACACGGUCCAGACUCCUACGGGAGGCAGCAGUGGGGAAUAUUGGGCAAUGGGCGCAAGCCUCGACCCAGCAACGCCGCGUGAGGGAAGAAGGUCUUCGGAUUGUAAACCUCUGUCCUAUGUGACGAAGGAAGUGACGGUAGCAUAGGAGGAAGCCCCGGCUAACUACGUGCCAGCCGCCGC